GCUUAGACAAUCAACAAGAUAAUAAAUCAAGCUGUGACUUGUAACAUUUGCAGAUUUCCAAGGUGGAAGUGUCCACACUGCAAAUUCAACAACUUGUUUUGGAGAACUAAUAUGAACUAGCUGCAGAGGCGUACUACUCCAUGAAAAGUAUACAGGUACUCCAGACUUUGACUUCACUUCAAGCUGGGACUUUGGCUCUUGUACUGCUUCUUGGAGGACUACUCCUGGAUCUUCUCCUUUGGACUUCAGUGUUGGAGGAUUUUGCCUUGGGUGGAAUAAGAGUCUCUUAAGUGUCCUUGCGCCUGACCCUGAAGGGAAAUUCACAUUUGAGCUUCAUACCAUCACUGAAGAUACUUCUGUAGCUGAACAGUUUUGAACCUGUAUUGGUGAGUUUUCCCAUCUAUUAUUUUAACACUGUCUUAAGUCUUUUAGGAUUG
This 437-nucleotide long non-coding RNA is filed under the name Monodelphis domestica (gray short-tailed opossum). Its description in RNAcentral is "lncRNA (ENSMODG00000039678.1)". Lineage: Eukaryota; Metazoa; Chordata; Mammalia; Didelphimorphia; Didelphidae. The record is from RNAcentral.